UUCUCACGCACGGGAAGGUUAAUUUUCAAUUUACCAGAGGCAAAAGGGUGCAACGAAUCGAUGAAAGGUGAAAUCAAAGUACGCUCGACGGUACGUAUGGUAGUAAUUGUAGCAAAAGGGUGGAAAUUGAAUUAACGCUAAGCAGCGCAACGUCGACGGGGAAGGAAAUCGAUUCGGUCCGAGGCUGGGACCCUCUCGUUUGUGCGCGUGAGGAAGAUGGUGUGACGGGUGUUAAAUAGUUCGCUGGUCAUCAGAACUUGUAAUUGUUUGGGCCCGCGACAGCAACCCGUAGGUGCAUUAUCGAUCGUUCCGAUCGUUUGGAAUUCGAUACCGCUGAUGCUGAUCCACAUCACACUGAUCUUCUGCUCGCUUCAAAGGCCCCUGCCCAUUGCCCACCAAAAAACCGGGCCAGAAACAUGGAAGGAGAAUUGUGUAAAGAAAAAAAAA
Molecule: long non-coding RNA, 447 nt
Organism: Anopheles stephensi (Asian malaria mosquito)
Lineage: Eukaryota; Metazoa; Arthropoda; Insecta; Diptera; Culicidae
Exons: 2
Source: RefSeq, a predicted model, not a curated record